This 344-nucleotide long non-coding RNA is filed under the name Monodelphis domestica (gray short-tailed opossum). RNAcentral's name for it is "lncRNA (ENSMODG00000035021.2)". The record is from RNAcentral. Lineage: Eukaryota; Metazoa; Chordata; Mammalia; Didelphimorphia; Didelphidae.
CUCCCCUAUUGAUGAAGAGAAUAAUGACUUGACAUUGCAUGUCUAUGUGGGGAAUAGAUCUAGUUCAAGAGCUUUAGAGAGAAGACAUUCUUCCUUUCUUCUUUGAGAGAGGACAUAUGCAUUCCAGACUCCUUUCUGGACUGACUCUGGGGAAGAAGAGAACAAAAAAUUUUGGAACAGAAGUAUCUUCCAAGAAACUGAAAAAUGACUUGGCUUUCCCAAUGGUUCAUCCUUUUCCACUUGAUGAGGAAACUGAACCUCAAAGAAGGGAAAUGAUUCAUCCCUGCCUGGCCACACAUCUUGGAAGGAGCAGACAGAGAAAGACUGAAACCCAAGACAUCUGA